RNAcentral lists this ribosomal RNA (357 nucleotides) under uncultured bacterium. RNAcentral's name for it is "bacterial SSU rRNA". It matches the Rfam family "Bacterial small subunit ribosomal RNA", at positions 8 to 350 of the family's 1533-position model. The record is from RNAcentral.
AGAGUUUGAUCCUGGCUCAGGAUGAACGCUAGCUACAGGCUUAACACAUGCAAGUCGAGGGGAAACGACAUCGAAAGCUUGCUUUUGAUGGGCGUCGACCGGCGCACGGGUGAGUAACGCGUAUCCAACCUGCCCACCACUUGGGGAUAACCUUGCGAAAGUAAGACUAAUACCCAAUGACGUCUCUAGAAGACAUCUGAAAGAGAUUAAAGAUUUAUCGGUGAUGGAUGGGGAUGCGUCUGAUUAGCUUGUUGGCGGGGUAACGGCCGACCAAGGCGACGAUCAGUAGGGGUUCUGGAGAGGAAGGUCCCCCGACACUUGGAACUGGAGACACGGUCCAAACUCCUACGGGAGGCA